AACGAACGCUGGCGGCAUGCCUAACACAUGCAAGUCGAACGAAGGCUUCGGCCUUAGUGGCGCACGGGUGCGUAACGCGUGGGAAUCUGCCCUUAGGUUCGGAAUAACAGCUGGAAACGGCUGCUAAUACCGGAUGAUGACGAAAGUCCAAAGAUUUAUCGCCUGAGGAUGAGCCCGCGUUGGAUUAGGUAGUUGGUGGGGUAAAGGCCUACCAAGCCGACGAUCCAUAGCUGGUCUGAGAGGAUGAUCAGCCACACUGGGACUGAGACACGGCCCAGACUCCUACGGGAGGCAGCAGUGGGGAAUAUUGGACAAUGGGCGAAAGCCUGAUCCAGCAAUGCCGCGUGAGUGAUGAAGGCCCUAGGGUUGUAAAGCUCUUUUACCCGGGAAGAUAAUGACUGUACCGGGAGAAUAAGCCCCGGCUAACUCCGUGCCAGCAGCCGCGGUAAUACGGAGGGGGCUAGCGUUGUUCGGAAUUACUGGGCGUAAAGCGCACGUAGGCGGCUUUGUAAGUCAGAGGUGAAAGCCUGGAGCUCAACUCCAGAACUGCCUUUGAGACUGCAUCGCUUGAAUCCAGGAGAGGUCAGUGGAAUUCCAAGUGUAGAGGUGAAAUUCGUAGAUAUUCGGAAGAACACCAGUGGCGAAGGCGGCUGACUGGACUGGUAUUGACGCUGAGGUGCGAAAGCGUGGGGAGCAAACAGG
RNAcentral lists this ribosomal RNA (702 nucleotides) under uncultured Alphaproteobacteria bacterium. RNAcentral's name for it is "bacterial SSU rRNA". It matches the Rfam family "Bacterial small subunit ribosomal RNA", at positions 28 to 776 of the family's 1533-position model. Lineage: Bacteria; Pseudomonadati; Pseudomonadota; Alphaproteobacteria. The record is from RNAcentral.